GUAGGGUGCGAGCGUUAAUCGGAAUUACUGGGCGUAAAGCGUGCGCAGGCGGUUGUGCAAGACAGGUGUGAAAUCCCCGGGCUUAACCUGGGAACUGCACUUGUGACUGCACGGCUGGAGUGCGGCAGAGGGGGAUGGAAUUCCGCGUGUAGCAGUGAAAUGCGUAGAUAUGUGGAGGAAUACCGAUGGCGAAGGCAGCCCCCUGGGCCAAUACUGACGCUCAUGCACGAAAGCGUGGGGAGCAAACAGGAUUAGAUACCCUGGUAGUCCACGCCCUAAACGAUGUCAACUAGUUGUUGGGGAUUCAUUUCCUUAGUAACGUAGCUAACGCGUGAAGUUGACCGCCUGGGGAGUACGGUCGCAAGAUUA
This 369-nucleotide ribosomal RNA is filed under the name uncultured bacterium. RNAcentral's name for it is "bacterial SSU rRNA". It matches the Rfam family "Bacterial small subunit ribosomal RNA", at positions 527 to 896 of the family's 1533-position model. The record is from RNAcentral.